Molecule: long non-coding RNA, 99 nt
Organism: Gopherus evgoodei (Goodes thornscrub tortoise)
Lineage: Eukaryota; Metazoa; Chordata; Testudines; Testudinidae
Exons: 3
Source: RefSeq, a predicted model, not a curated record
GGACAAUGUGCAAGGGGCGUGAGUGAUUACUGGAUCCAGGCUAAAAGGAGGUUGGUCGGUAAAAGGGAGCAUUCUGGAACUGACUCUUAUGCUCCAAUA